UCUUGAAUAUCAAAGGUGAGCCAGUACAGGAUGGACCCGCGUCUGCUUAGCUAGUUGGUAAGGUAACGGCUUACCAAGGCGACGAUCAGUAGCCGACCUGAGAGGGUGAUCGGCCACAUUGGAACUGGGACACGGUCCAAACUCCUACGGGAGGAAGCAGUGGGGAAUAUUGCACAAUGGGCGAAAGCCUGAUGCAGCAACGCCGCGUGAGUGAUGAAGGCCUUCGGGUCGUAAAACUCUGUCCUCAAGGAAGAU
RNAcentral lists this ribosomal RNA (255 nucleotides) under Clostridioides difficile. RNAcentral's name for it is "partial 16S ribosomal RNA". It matches the Rfam family "Bacterial small subunit ribosomal RNA", at positions 192 to 449 of the family's 1533-position model. The record is from RNAcentral. Lineage: Bacteria; Bacillati; Bacillota; Clostridia; Peptostreptococcales; Peptostreptococcaceae.